Molecule: ribosomal RNA, 120 nt
Filed under: Allium deltoidefistulosum
Lineage: Eukaryota; Viridiplantae; Streptophyta; Magnoliopsida; Asparagales; Amaryllidaceae
Source: RNAcentral
GGGUGCGAUCAUACCAGCACUAAAGCACCGGAUCCCAUCAGAACUCCGAAGUUAAGCGUGCUUGGGCGAGUGUAGUACUAGGAUGGGUGACCUCCUGGGAAGUCCUCGUGUUGCACCCCU